This 87-nucleotide transfer RNA is filed under the name Rheinheimera salexigens. RNAcentral's name for it is "tRNA-Leu". It matches the Rfam family "tRNA". From Rfam's summary of the family: Transfer RNA (tRNA) molecules are approximately 80 nucleotides in length. Their secondary structure includes four short double-helical elements and three loops (D, anti-codon, and T loops). The record is from RNAcentral. RNAcentral also lists the same sequence under 1 other name. Lineage: Bacteria; Pseudomonadati; Pseudomonadota; Gammaproteobacteria; Chromatiales; Chromatiaceae.
GCCCGGGUGGUGAAAUCGGUAGACACAAGGGAUUUAAAAUCCCUCGCUCGAAAGGGCAUGCCGGUUCAAGUCCGGCCCCGGGCACCA